This 305-nucleotide ribosomal RNA is filed under the name uncultured bacterium. RNAcentral describes it as "bacterial SSU rRNA". It matches the Rfam family "Bacterial small subunit ribosomal RNA", at positions 337 to 635 of the family's 1533-position model. The record is from RNAcentral.
GCCUACGGGGGGCAGCAGUAGGGAAUUUUCGUCAAUGGGCGCAAGCCUGAACGAGCAAUGCCGCGUGAACGAGGAAGGUCUUCGGAUCGUAAAGUUCUGUUGAAGGGGAAAAAGAGCGGAGAGAGGAAAUGGUCUCCGAUUGAUAUUACCCUUCGAGGAAGUCACGGCUAACUACGUGCCAGCAGCCGCGGUAAUACGUAGGUGGCGAGCGUUAUCCGGAAUGAUUGGGCGUAAAGGAUGCGUAGGCGGCCUGCUAAGUCUGGAGUGAAAGGUACCGGCUCAACCGGUACAGGCUCUGGAAACUG